CGCGUGUUCGUCUCUCUGCGCGUCUGUCUAAAGUGUAAGAUUCACACGUAUUUUAUUCACGCGCACAUCCCGCGUCUAUGUAUGCAUGUAUAUCGCGCAACGUUCGGAUUUUAUCAUUGUUCAUUUCCGCUCCGAUGGAAAAUCCCUAAAUUUUCCCUCCUCUCGGGCUUUCCCAGCCGAUCACCGGCAUAAUUUAAUGCACAGAUUGUUCGUGAUUUAGACUUCUGGAAAUCUCUUUAUAAGUUUUAAUGAUGCAAAAUUGCAUCGUAGAAGAGAAAUCGUUUCGAAGAGACAAAUGUAAUCGUUAAAAAUCUUUGUUGCAGUCGCGAAAUUUUCAAGCCAUUAACACGUACGUAUAAUAGAAACUUUUUUUGCAUAAAUUUAUAUUAGUCGUGAAUGUCUCGUUGAAACUAUUUAUUUUACAGAUGUUCUUCACGCUCUCGGCUCCUCCUGAUCCCGUAGGGGAAAAUCAGGAAUUCGUUGUGGGAACGAGGAGCGGCUAGACGUAAUCGAAAUCCAUGGAAAAACACGACACGGAUUACCGGCGACAUAUUUUCGCUACUGUUUAUUGGUUGCGAUAGACCCGAUUUCUGGCACAGAUUCAGUAAAUUUCUGAAUACCAUUACUUGAUGAUUUCCAAAAUCGCUCGAAUUCGGCCACGGCCAUGUACCACACUGUACAAUGCAGCACGAGUGUACGCUUGAAGAUUUCUCCGCCUGAUUAAUUAUGCCUUUUGGAAUUAGACCAAACGAUUAAGAAACCAAUUCCAUUUGAGUGCACAAGUAACUGCGGAAUAUUACCGACCAUCAUCGCAGUACGUUCAACAACAAUGGAAAUCGGACAAUUCGCUAAAUACACGAACGGUGCGAAUGGCUAAAGUUACAAGAGACAAACGAUACCGCAGCGAUAUCAGCGCAUGUUAGCUGGCGUUUCGAACAGUAGUAGCGAGUGAAGUCCGCUAACGUCGGGAAGCUGAGAAACCGACCGACCGGCCUUCACGCGCCUCGCCUCGGCCCGAUGGCGCCAAGCUGACCUAUCUGCUCGCCACCAAUGUGGGCUGCCUCGCACCAGUCGCGACCGGCCGUCGACCGAUCAACCGUCCAAUCGUUCUUCGUGUGUUAUACGUGCGAGUUUUUCAGCACAGUUGUAUUACAGAUACAAGGAGCGUCACCCACACAACAGUCACAGCUGAUCUAAUAAAGAAGCAAUUUUUUAAUUUGAC
Ooceraea biroi (clonal raider ant) is the source of this 1222-nucleotide long non-coding RNA. RefSeq lists it as uncharacterized. The record is from RefSeq and is a predicted model, not a curated record. NCBI's taxonomy places the organism in Eukaryota, Metazoa, Arthropoda, Insecta, Hymenoptera, Formicidae.